RNAcentral lists this unclassified non-coding RNA (353 nucleotides) under soil metagenome. RNAcentral's name for it is "partial contains 5.8S ribosomal RNA, internal transcribed spacer 2, and large subunit ribosomal RNA". The stretch from base 1 to 120 matches the Rfam family "5.8S ribosomal RNA", at positions 35 to 154 of the family's 154-position model. The record is from RNAcentral.
GAUGAAGAACGCAGCGAAAUGCGAUAAGUAAUGUGAAUUGCAGAAUUCAGUGAAUCAUCGAAUCUUUGAACGCACAUUGCGCCCGCCAGUAUUCUGGCGGGCAUGCCUGUUCGAGCGUCAUCACAACCCUCAGGCCCCCGGGCCUGGCGUUGGGGAUCGGCGGAAGCCCCCUGCGGGCACAACGCCGUCCCCCAAAUACAGUGGCGGUCCCGCCGCAGCUUCCAUUGCGUAGUAGCUAACACCUCGCAACUGGAGAGCGGCGCGGCCACGCCGUAAAACACCCAACUUCUGAAUGUUGACCUCGAAUCAGGUAGGAAUACCCGCUGAACUUAAGCAUAUCAAUAAGCGGAGGA